This 497-nucleotide ribosomal RNA is filed under the name uncultured bacterium. RNAcentral's name for it is "partial 16S ribosomal RNA". It matches the Rfam family "Bacterial small subunit ribosomal RNA", at positions 28 to 507 of the family's 1533-position model. The record is from RNAcentral.
GAUGAACGCUGGCGGCGUGCCUAAUACAUGCAAGUCGAGCGAACAGACGAGGAGCUUGCUCCUCUGACGUUAGCGGCGGACGGGUGAGUAACACGUGGAUAACCUACCUAUAAGACUGGGAUAACUUCGGGAAACCGGAGCUAAUACCGGAUAAUAUAUUGAACCGCAUGGUUCAAUAGUGAAAGACGGUUUUGCUGUCACUUAUAGAUGGAUCCGCGCCGCAUUAGCUAGUUGGUAAGGUAACGGCUUACCAAGGCAACGAUGCGUAGCCGACCUGAGAGGCUGAUAGGCCACCUUGGAACUGAGACACGGUCAAGACUCCUACGGGAGGCAGCAGUAGGGAAUCUUCCGCAAUGGGCGAGAGCCUGACGGAGCAACGCCGCGUGAGUGAUGACGGUCUUCGGAUCGUAAAACUCUGUUAUUAGGGAAGAACAAAUGUGUAAGUAACUAUGCACGUCUUGACGGUACCUAAUCAGAAAGCCACGGCUAACUACGUG